GCUACUGCCAUCAGAGUUCGAUUAGGCCAUGUUAGUCGAGGGUACCUCUUCUUCUUCGGAGGAUGAGGUAACCCGGCGGACGGCUCAGUAACACGUGGAUAACUUGCCCUUGGGUCUGGGAUAACCCCUGGGAAACUGGGGCUAAUACCGGAUAGAGCAUCGAUCGCUGGAAUGCAUGAUGCUCGAAAACUACGGUGCCCAAGGAUAGGUCUGCGGCUGAUUAGGUUGUUGUUGAUGUAAUGGACCAACAAGCCUACGAUCGGUACGGGUUGUGAGAGCAAUAGCCCGGAGAUGGGUUCUGAGAAAAGAACCCAGGUCCUACGGGACGCAUCAGGCGCGAAAACUUUACAAUGUGCGAAAGCACGAUAAGGGAACUCUGAGUGCCCCCUAAGGGGGCUGUUCUAGUGUCUAAAAAGCAAUAGAAGUAAGGGCUGGGCAAGACCGGUGCCAGCCGCCGCGGUAACACCGGCAGCCCAAGUGGUAGCCACGUUUAUUGGGUCUAAAGCGUUCGUAGCCGGCUUGGUAAGUUCCUUGGUAAAUUUAGCCGCUUAACGGUUAAGCUUUCAGGGAAUACUGCUUGGCUUGGGACUGGGAGAGGUCAGAGGUACUCCAGGGGUAGGGGUGAAAUCCAUUAAUCCUUGGGGGACCACCGGUAGCGAAGGCGUCUGACCAGACCAGCUCCGACGGUGAGGGACGAAGGCUAGGGGCGCGAACCGGAUUAGAUACCCGGGUAGUCCUAGCUGUAAACGAUGCGGGCUAGGUGUUGGCAUUACUGCGAGUGGUGCCAGUGCCGAAGGGAAGCCGUUAAGCUCGCCAUCUGGGGAGUACGAUCGCAAGGCUUAAACUUAAAGGAAUUGGCGGGGGAGCACCACAACGGGUGGAGCCUGCGAUUC
Molecule: ribosomal RNA, 893 nt
Filed under: uncultured archaeon
Lineage: Archaea
Description: bacterial SSU rRNA
Rfam family: Archaeal small subunit ribosomal RNA
Source: RNAcentral